AUGAACGCUGGCGGCGUGCUUAACACCUGCAAGUCGAACGGGAAACCUUUUAAUGAAGCUUCGGCAGAUUUAGCUGGUUUCUAGUGGCGGACGGGUGAGUAACGCGUGGGUAACCUGCCUUAUACAGGGGGAUAACAGUCAGAAAUGACUGCUAAUACCGCAUAAGCGCACAGGACCGCAUGGUCCGGUGUGAAAAACUCCGGUGGUAUAAGAUGGACCCGCGUUGGAUUAGCUUGUUGGUGGGGUAACGGCUCACCAAGGCGACGAUCCAUAGCCGGCCUGAGAGGGUGAACGGCCACAUUGGGACUGAGACACGGCCCAGACUCCUACGGGAGGCAGCAGUGGGGAAUAUUGCACAAUGGGGGAAACCCUGAUGCAGCGACGCCGCGUGAAGGAAGAAGUAUCUCGGUAUGUAAACUUCUAUCAGCAGGGAAGAUAGUGACGGUACCUGACUAAGAAGCCCCGGCUAACUACGUG
RNAcentral lists this ribosomal RNA (477 nucleotides) under uncultured bacterium. RNAcentral's name for it is "partial 16S ribosomal RNA". It matches the Rfam family "Bacterial small subunit ribosomal RNA", at positions 29 to 507 of the family's 1533-position model. The record is from RNAcentral.